RNAcentral lists this ribosomal RNA (274 nucleotides) under uncultured bacterium. RNAcentral describes it as "partial 16S ribosomal RNA". It matches the Rfam family "Bacterial small subunit ribosomal RNA", at positions 523 to 796 of the family's 1533-position model. The record is from RNAcentral.
AUACGGAGGGUGCAAGCGUUAUCCGGAUUUACUGGGUUUAAAGGGUGCGCAGGCGGUAAUUUAAGUCAGUGGUGAAAGCCUACAGCUCAACUGUAGAACUGCCAUUGAAACUGAAUUACUUGAGUGUGGUAGAGGUAGGCGGAAUACAACAUGUAGCGGUGAAAUGCAUAGAUAUGUUGUAGAACACCGAUUGCGAAGGCAGCUUACUAAACCAUUACUGACGCUCAGGCACGAAAGCGUGGGGAGCGAACAGGAUUAGAAACCCUAGUAGUCC